Amphimedon queenslandica is the source of this 503-nucleotide long non-coding RNA. RefSeq lists it as uncharacterized. The transcript has 2 exons. The record is from RefSeq and is a predicted model, not a curated record. NCBI's taxonomy places the organism in Eukaryota, Metazoa, Porifera, Demospongiae, Haplosclerida, Niphatidae.
AUCACAUGAUAUAAUUUUAAUAAAAUGGCCUCUAAAAGAUAAGUAGAAUUUGUAGGAGCUUCAUGAGUUGUUACAGGAUUUGAGGUUCAAAGAGAAGUAAAGGAGGAACAAAAAUGAGCAUCACAAAGUCUGUUAUUGAUGAUUAGGAUAGUUUUUUGUGCCUGCUGACAGGAUUUAGUGGCAAACAAAGUGUCAAUCACUACUGUGGCUCUGUACUGCAUUAUGUCUUCUUGAAAAUAAGUUCUGGAACAAAAAAACUCUUCCAUGGUCCUCUGGUCAAUGACUAAAGCUAGUGAGCUUACCUAUUGAUGAGCAAUGAGUUAAGAAAUGUGCUAUAGGGGUACAUACUUUUAUGGAAGAUGAAGAAAUACUUCUACCUCAUCUGCAAAUGAUGUCUCUAACAGCCAUGGCCUUUGUAGCAUUCUUAUUACUAUCAUUAUAUUAUUAUACAAUUUUAGUCAAUUUUGCAUUAUUAAACAUGCUGUUUUGAUCUGAUAGCAAAA